This 400-nucleotide ribosomal RNA is filed under the name uncultured eukaryote. RNAcentral describes it as "SSU rRNA". It matches the Rfam family "Eukaryotic small subunit ribosomal RNA", at positions 567 to 974 of the family's 1831-position model. The record is from RNAcentral.
CCAGCACCUGCGGUAAUUCCAGCUCCAAUAGCGUAUAUUAAAGUUGUUGCAGUUAAAAAGCUCGUAGUUGGAUUUGUGGCGCGUGCCGUGGCGUUCCUUAAUUGGAUUCUGCCUUGGCCGUGCCAUCCUUGGGUGGAAUCUGUGUGGCAUUAGGUUGUCGUGCAGGGGAUGCCCAUCGUUUACUGUGAAAAAAUUAGAGUGUUCAAAGCAGGCUUAUGCCGUUGAAUAUAUUAGCAUGGAAUAAUAAGAUAGGUCUUUGGUCCUAUUUUGUUGGUUUGCGGGCCGGAGAAAUGAUUAACAGGGACAGUUGGGGGUCUUCGUAUUCCAUUGUCAGAGGUGAAAUUCUUGGAUUUCUGGAAGACGAACUACUGCGAAAGCAUUGACCAAGGAUGUUUUCAUU